Molecule: ribosomal RNA, 253 nt
Filed under: uncultured bacterium
Lineage: Bacteria
Description: partial 16S ribosomal RNA
Rfam family: Bacterial small subunit ribosomal RNA
Source: RNAcentral
UACGUAGGGUGCAAGCGUUGCCCGGAAUUAUUGGGCGUAAAGGGCUCGUAGGCGGUCCAUCGCGUCGGGAGUGAAAAGCUGGGGCUUAACCCCAGUCCUGCUUCCGAUACGGGUGGACUAGAGGUAGGUAGGGGAGAUCGGAAUUCCUGGUGUAGCGGUGAAAUGCGUAGAUAUCGGGAGGAACACCAGUGGCGAAGGCGACUUCCUGGCCUGUUCUUGACGCUGAGGCGCGAAAGCUAGGGGAGCAAACGGG